RNAcentral lists this ribosomal RNA (713 nucleotides) under Bacillus licheniformis. RNAcentral describes it as "bacterial SSU rRNA". It matches the Rfam family "Bacterial small subunit ribosomal RNA", at positions 48 to 743 of the family's 1533-position model. The record is from RNAcentral. Lineage: Bacteria; Bacillati; Bacillota; Bacilli; Caryophanales; Bacillaceae.
GCUAUACAUGCAGUCGAGCGGACCGACGGGAGCUUGCUCCCUUAGGUCAGCGGCGGACGGGUGAGUAACACGUGGGUAACCUGCCUGUAAGACUGGGAUAACUCCGGGAAACCGGGGCUAAUACCGGAUGCUUGAUUGAACCGCAUGGUUCAAUCAUAAAAGGUGGCUUUUAGCUACCACUUACAGAUGGACCCGCGGCGCAUUAGCUAGUUGGUGAGGUAACGGCUCACCAAGGCGACGAUGCGUAGCCGACCUGAGAGGGUGAUCGGCCACACUGGGACUGAGACACGGCCCAGACUCCUACGGGAGGCAGCAGUAGGGAAUCUUCCGCAAUGGACGAAAGUCUGACGGAGCAACGCCGCGUGAGUGAUGAAGGUUUUCGGAUCGUAAAACUCUGUUGUUAGGGAAGAACAAGUACCGUUCGAAUAGGGCGGUACCUUGACGGUACCUAACCAGAAAGCCACGGCUAACUACGUGCCAGCAGCCGCGGUAAUACGUAGGUGGCAAGCGUUGUCCGGAAUUAUUGGGCGUAAAGCGCGCGCAGGCGGUUUCUUAAGUCUGAUGUGAAAGCCCCCGGCUCAACCGGGGAGGGUCAUUGGAAACUGGGGAACUUGAGUGCAGAAGAGGAGAGUGGAAUUCCACGUGUAGCGGUGAAAUGCGUAGAGAUGUGGAGGAACACCAGUGGCGAAGGCGACUCUCUGGUCUGUAACUGA